This 253-nucleotide ribosomal RNA is filed under the name uncultured prokaryote. Its description in RNAcentral is "partial 16S ribosomal RNA". It matches the Rfam family "Bacterial small subunit ribosomal RNA", at positions 525 to 777 of the family's 1533-position model. The record is from RNAcentral.
ACAGAGGGUGCAAGCGUUAAUCGGAAUUACUGGGCGUAAAGCGCGCGUAGGUGGUUUGUUAAGUUGGAUGUGAAAUCCCCGGGCUUAACUUGGGAAUUGCGCUCGAAACUACUUGGCUCGAGUGUGGCAGAGGAAGGUGGAAUUCCACGUGUAGCGGUGAAAUGCGUAGAGAUGUGGAGGAACACCGAUGGCGAAGGCAGCCUUCUGGGCCAACACUGACGCUCAUGCACGAAAGCGUGGGGAGCAAACAGGA